Long non-coding RNA from Leopardus geoffroyi (Geoffroy's cat), 10100 nucleotides. RefSeq lists it as uncharacterized. The transcript has 6 exons. NCBI's taxonomy places the organism in Eukaryota, Metazoa, Chordata, Mammalia, Carnivora, Felidae. The record is from RefSeq and is a predicted model, not a curated record.
CUCCCGCAUUAAAAUUUCAUGGGCGCUGCAGCAGCUACAAAGACGACGCCGGCUGCGCUCGGGGGACCAGAGGGAGGGAGGCUGCGGACGAGUGCGGGGAGGAGUUUGCGAUGGGAGGCGCUUGCAGGGGCUCCCCCAGUUCUGCGCGGUGAGCCCGGGCACAAAGAGCCCUCUGCACUCGCGCCGCAGGACCGCGGAGCCGAGCGAGCUUACUUUACGCCAGCCUCUGCUUUGCCCGCAUUACCACAACAGUCCCACGAGCAGCAGCUCAGGGGCUCCCUUGUUUGAGGAAGAGUUGAAAUUCGAAUUUCGGAGUUCCUCUUUUGUGUAUGCCCUGCUUGCAUCUGUCCAGAAGCCGGGCUUUCUGCUGCUCUACAGACGCCUCUGUUUCCCUCGGCACGUCUCCUGCGCAUCUCGUUAUUCCUGGGAGGUUCCUGCUGUUUUGUCGCUGGGGGCACCUCCCUGCCCACCCACGUGGCUCCAGACGUGUCUACGUGCCUACCAUGACCCUGACCGCAUCAAAGGAGUAACCAAGGUGACCCUGAGAUAAUAGACACCGGCUUCAUGCUAUGAAGUCCCGUCUGUGUGGAAAGCCCCAGAAUCUCAGAGCAUCCAGCAAGCUCCUGGGAGAGAGGGAAGAGAAGGGGAGGAGAGAGAAGGGGAUUUCCGGAUUCUUCCUGAACAUUCGUGACCACCCUGGGCAGCAGCCUGACAGAUAAGUAUUCCAAUUUACCAGUGCCGCCCCCCCUCCCCCCACUGCCCCCCCCCUCCCAGGUCCGUGCACGAAAGCGUAGAAUCUCUCACAAUCCUGUGGGAGGGAAAUUGGCGAGGCCACUUUUCAACCCCUCUACGUCACAGACCAAGCCCUUGUCCCCAUUAUAUGGGGCCCCAGACAGGGGCGUUUCCACCCCGCUUUUUGGCACGGAAGCCAGCAUUUUGUCAGUUCCGCCACGAGGACCUUCUGUAGGCUGGAGUUUGGCGACCUCUUGAGUCCCCGUCGAUCUGGUGUCAGAAGGAGUCAGAAGGAGACUGGGGACUCCGGGCGGCUCUUCUCAGUUCCGGCCCUUUGUCAUCAUAUUUGUGAGACUUGGCCAGGGCCCCCUUUACCUGGCAGUUGGGCAGGGAGGCCAACACUGUGAUGAUGGGCCACGUUCUCCUCUCCGGGUCUGGACCCGUGUCCCGAGUCUCAGGUGCCUGUAGAGAGUGGUGGGCGCACACUGAGCCAUCCCCUGACUCUCCUGGCACGGGUCUGCCAGCUGAAGAAGAUAGCUUAGCUGUCACCAGGAGCAAAACCUGGGACAUGAUCCUGGGUCAGGGUUAGCAGGCCGACGGGGACAGAUGGGGGCAGAAAAAUAACUGAGGGUGAGUUGUAGCCCCCUCCCCCCCAUUUCCUGUCCACUGCCUCAAACUGUGGGUUAGUAUUGUGCACUCUGGGUGAACGCAGGGCUGGAAGGAUCCCAAGGCUCAGAGAGAGAGAGAGAGAAAGAGAGAGAGCGGGGCAGGCUUCCCAUGGCUACACAAGAUGGCAGAGCUGAAUCCGACCUCUGGAUCCCUGACUCUGGUCCCUGCCUCCACUCGGCUGUUGCCAAGCUGACCUUGCCUUACUUUGUCCUGGGUCCCCUUCUGCUGUUGCUGGGGAACAGGGAGGUGGGUGAAGGAGCCCCCCCCUUAUCCCGAGGACAUUCUGGGGUGGGAGGAAGGGAGGUGGAAGGGGGAUGUGCCUGGGCCCAGCCUCCCUGGCUCUGGGGGCCUUCUCGUUAGCAGAGAGUUCUGGCCAGUUCGGGCGUGGGGAGGGGGCCUGGGUGCAGUUUCCUCCUGCAGCGUGGUGGGCUUUUUUGUCUUCCAGGAUGGGAUCUACACGGAGAAGGAGCCGGGAGCUGGGCCUGGGCUGCCAACAUGUUGUCUGGGUGCAGCCAGGUGGCUCAGCCCGGCCCCGUCUCCAGGACUCCUGCCUGGUCUUCCCUUUGGAGCCCUGGUGACUCUGGACUCUGGCCACAGUGACGCAGGGAGCAGCCUUUGGUGGUUUUCUCGGACUCUGGACAAGUCCCCAAAGCCGUCAUCCUUCCACUGAGAUAAAGGCCCCUCCUGGCUGGCGCCCGGCUGAGGACAGGCCGUAGCUCCGGAGGACAGCCCGAGGGAGGGGUGUGAGGGAGCCUGGCUGCCCACUGCCCCUCUGUGUCCCACCUGGACCCCGCCUGUUGGGGCACCUGUUGCCGUCUGGGCCCGGAGGCUGCUUCUCGACCCUGUGCCGACUGGAUUCCUCUCUGUGGCCCUGCCGGUGGCCAGCCGGAGCCCCGCCUGGGCCAGGGCCCCACUGACUGCACCCUUGCCACAGCUGGACGCUACAGGAUGGUGCAGGGACACAGGGAUGGGCGUUGGGGUGGAGCUGCAGGGAGGACAGACAGCUUUGUGGGCUCCGUCAGCUGGAGUCCGUCUUGCGUCCUUUGCCUUGAGUGGUUCUCAUUUUUGUGGUGCUCUUUGGAUGAGGCUUUUCUGCGCUUCUCCUCUGCCUCACGGUCGCAGGGAGGAGGCGGGCAGGGUCUGGGAGGAGCCCGAGCCUCCCCCCAGUGUUGUUGAGGUCUUGGAGGGGGGCAGUUGGAGGGGCAGAAGGUGCCCGAUCCUGAAAGGGGAGGGUUUGCAAGAGAUGAGGAAGCCCAGGCCAGGAGGGAGACGACAAACUGAGCCUUAUUCCCACUGUCCAAAGGGCCCGGGCUGGAUCCAGCCUUGUCCCCAGGCUUGAGGGGUCGGGUCGGCCCGGCCUGAUGACAGACCCCCUGUUUGCUGUUGCACUCGUCUUUCAUUCUGUCCUGGGGGGGCAAAGGCAGGCAGGGCGGGCCCCACGCACACGCGGCACCCCCCCCCCCCCCCCCCCCCGCCCCAUCAAAGGCUUACCUCCACAAGCAUCUCUCCAUUCUCCCCUCGUUCUGGCCCCUCUGGAGGGGACGGUCUGGUGCCUGCACAGGAGCGGCCUGUGGCCUUCCAUAGGCAAGCUUCAAAGCUGGGAGGGCUUUUCCCGGGGUGGAGAGGGGGCCUGUGUUAGCUCGAGCCGCUGUCACAGGAUAGCGCAGCCUGGGUGGGGCGGGGCUCAAACAGCAGAAAUGUGUUUUCUUAUAGUUGUGGCAGCUGGAAAGCCAAGAUCAAGGUGCCACGGUUGGCUUCUCCUGAGGCAUCUCUCCUCGGCUUGCAGAUGGCCACCUUCUCGCUGUGUCCUCACGUGGCCUUUUCUCUGUGCACAUGUAUGGGGUGGGCGGGGGGGAGCGGAGUGAGGCGGAGGGACAGAUGUGGUGUCACUUCCUCUUUUUAUAAGGAGGCCGGUCCUAUCUUAUUAGGGUCCCAUGCUUAUGGCCUCGUUGAACCUUAAUGUCCUUGGUAAAAGCCCCAUCUCCAAAUAUGGCUACACUGGGGGUAGCCAUAUGGCUUCAACCUACGAAUUUGGGGAGGGGGACACGAUCCAGUCCAUACAGGUAGUCACGGCAAAUGUGGAAAGUGGGAGCCAUCUUCCCUCCGGCAUCCCCAGCGCCACGGGGCGGGGAGCGGGGGGCAGAAAGAGCAGAGGAAUGGGGAGUAGGGACAGAGUGCAAGGGGCACCAGGCUGGAUGGUCCCCGUGCCUUGGCGACACACGGAACUGGCUGGACCAGGGCAGCAAGAGAGAGUCCCAGGAGGAGGAGGGCCUUGGAAGAGCCUGGGCUUUGGAGCCCAAGGCUGCAUCUCUGCCACUUAACCUUGGGCACGUGACCUCAUCUCUGCGAGUCCGAUGUCUACUCUGAAACAGCAGCCAUCUGCUCAGCUGGGGCGGUGGGGGGGGGGGGGCUGGCGUGCAGGGAGGGUUCAGUGUAGGCCCCUGCCUGCCCAGGGCUGGGCUCCUGGCCGGUUGCUCACGAUACACUCCCCUCGCUUUCGGGGUUUAGAUUUAGGGCUUGUGGAGUUUUGGUGCCCUGGAGGUGCCAACCCAGCAUCUUCUGACCCAGAAGCACUUCCAUCUGACUAGCCCUUCCCCUGCCAUCCAUCUCGAAUCAGCUUGGGGAAGUGGCUGCACUGCAUGGCCUUCGGAGUAGCUCCGAAUGCCUCCCGGGGUAUCCUCUUAUCAGGAUUGAGCACCUACUCUGGGCCUUUUUCUGUGCUGGUCGCUUGCAGCGGCGGGGGGUGGGGGGGGGUGGGGGGUGGGAUAUAGGUGAAGCUCUGGCCGUGAUUGAAACCUUCAGGAUUGCACGGCCACGGAAUUGGAAUUGGGAGAAUCGGAGAACGGGGCAGAGAACAGUCCACUGAGGCACGGGUUCUGAGUGCUUGGGGGGAUGGGGGUGGGAGUAAGAUGCCAGAAUGACUUGCACAGACUUCAAACCAGGGCCUUGAAGGAUGAGAAAGAUGUGGCUCAGCUGACAGGUUCCAGGUCCCUGGAAGAGAUUCCCAAAGUCAGUCCUAGGAGAUCCCAUUGCUCGCUCUCUCUCUCCCUGUCUCUCUCUCUCUUUUAAAGUGAGUUCAAGUGCAACAGGUUUCUAGAAUGCAGGACUUAUCAGAGCCUUGCAAGCGCUGAUGGGAAUUGUGAGUCCUCAAGGGCAGACAGGACUCUGUGUCCUCCCCCUUUAUGGCAACAGAACCCUUUUCUUAUGGAGCAUCGUUUAAGACUGAGGGGGCAGGAGGCUGGGGCUCUUGGGGCUCAGAAUGGGGACACCACAGCAGGGAUAGGAGAUGAUAUAGCUCGGCACACUCAGGGGCUCUGUAGGACCAGCUGGAAAGGCAGCAGACAGGAGGGGCGGGGGAGUGGGAACUGGGUUCCAGGAGUCAGGUGAGCUCUAUGUAGUUUUGGUCUGGCCGGAGAUGGCGGGCGGGCGGGGGGGGGGGGGGUGGAGGGCAGGCCAGUGGCUGGGGUAGCCGGCAUCCUGGCAGGUGGUGGAGGAUGUGGUGCCUCUGGACUUAAUGCCACUGGGAAGACGCUGGUGUGUGCGUGCCUGAGUGUGACAGGAUCCAGCCUUCUGGGAAGGGGCUGACCAGAACCAGGCAGGGGUUUCCAGCCAGGACGAGCAGGUUCUAUUUUCGGGGGACCGGACUGUUCUGAGGGAGGAGGCCCGCGGCCAAGCAAAUCGGGAAGCCAAAUGCUUUGGGGCAGGGUCCGCGGGAUGGGCUCGAGUGUGGUGGUGCUGAGGAGCUUGGAGGCGGGCCCCUGCCCUGGUCAGGCCCAGCUCGCUGGCUGGUGGGGGGGGGGCGGUGGGGGCUCGGGAGGCCUCUGGAGCUGCAGCCGAGCGGCCGGGGCUGUGAUGCAUGGUGUGAUUAACCUACUAACCCAGGGCUCGGCCGGGACGCUGUGGCGUGUGACGAGGUGCCUGGCCUUCUGCCAACCAACUAACCCACUAACCAGGCCCGAGCAUGCCCUACUAACCCCCCGCAGCCCGACCCUACUAACCUGGCAGCUCAUGGGCCUUCCAAGGGGCUGGGACGUGGGGGCAGACGAUGCUCCAGAAGGCCCUGCCCAGUGGCCUGGGAUCUCUGUGCAGACCCGCAUUGCGGGACGGGGCAUGCAAACAGGACUCGCCAACUCUGCCAUUUCCUGCUGAGCCAUUUUGAGCAAGCCACCUCACCUCUCUGAACCCCUUUCCUCAGCAGCACAAUGGGAGUACUGAUUUUCACCUCAAAGGCUGCAGCGAAGAUUCCCAGGAAUGUAAAAAUUCUUGAGACGUGGCAGAUGUUUAAAAAAUAUAUAAGGGGCGGGGGCGGGGGGCGUGGAGAGCCCAGAAAACCCGACUGAUCAUAUCCCCUGCCUAGGCCCUGGUCCCUCUGGGGAGUUCUGCACACAGACCCCCCCUGCCUGGGGCCAGACUUUCGCUUUGAACCCUGUCUCUUCCCCACAUUCUUCCUCCUUCUCAGCUUUCUUUCCGUAGGCAGCUCUUUUGUUCAAUUACUAACCUGUCUAACCCGGGGGGGGGGGGGCCUCAACUGCACCCCGACUGCCCCUUAACCGACUAACGGACCUGUGUGUGUUCUUCCUUUUCUCCUAGUGACUCCUGUGUGUGUCUGCUGAGGUGCCCCCGUCCGCUGGUGCUGUGCUCUGACUUACUAACCCGGCCCCUACUAACCUGGUUUUCUCUUCUUACUAACCCCAGCCCUGCCGAGCUCUGGGCGCCCCUCCUUUUGGCAAGCAGAGGUCCUGGGGCUGGUCCUGCAGACAGGUGCCUCACUUUGCCGCCCCAAGAGGCUGGGAGUUCGGAGUCCACUGGGUCAGGUCUAAGGCAGGGGACAGCCCUAUUCAGCCACGCGAGUGGCCUAGGGGAGGAGGCGGUCAUGGGGAGAUGGGAGGCUGGCCUCUGAGCAAGAGAGAGCGUCUCUCUGCGCAGACGUCUGGUGGCCACUGGGAGUGGGCGGGGCCAGGGAAGCUUCUGGGGUGUGAGAGUGGAGGCCUGCGUGUCUAGAACACGGAGUCCUGGGCUUUUCCCGCCAACAGGCAGAGAGAUGGGGCCUGUGUAGCCCUCUUUGGAGGGAAGUGAGGACAGAAUUCUCCCCCCUGGAAAGCACCAGGUGGAGGCACUGUCCUGCACCGGAAGUCAAUGGGGGUGCGUGUCGGAAGUCAGCGAAGGGGGCGGGGCCCACACGGGAAGUCAGGAAGCGGAGCCUUCCCCUACACAGGAAGUCAACGAAAGGGGCCUCUCCCACACUGGGAAUCCCUGAGUAGAGCGUUCAGUACGGGAAGUCGGCCAGAGGGGCGUUUCUCACACCGGAAGUCAGUGAGAGGGACGGCCCACCUUAUCACCAGGCAUGAGAGGGAAUGACCGAGAUCAGCGAAAAGGGCCUUUCCUACCAGGGCAGUUGGCUGGAGGGGCCCUUCCCCUCUCUGAAGCUGGGUUGGAUGUGGGCCAGCCAGAGGUAGAUGUGGGCCAUUGUUUCACAUCGGAAGUCAUCGAGGAGUGUGUCCACACCAGCGAGCUUGAGAAGGCAGGGAAGAAAACAAAUCUGCCCUGGGUUCGGGGUUCACAGGAAGAGGAAAUGGGAAGCAAGACGUGAACCCCAGGGUCCCGCAAGGUCCUGCCGUCCCUCAGGCCAGCCAGAAGUUCAUCCCGGGCUCCCUGUCAUAUUCCCACCCAUGCCCCUGCCCCGGCUUGCCUUCCCCAGAGCCCGCCAGCCGCUAAAGCCAGGGCCACACCUGGGGGUGAUUUUAUGCCUCACCUCCAGUAGGCACCUUGGUCUGUCUCUUUGGGCUAAUCUCUGGCUCCUUUGCACUAACUCUUGCUCUCACCCAGCUAAUCCCUGCCUCGCCCUGGCUGCCCGGCGGGGGUGGGGGUCGGUGGGGGAGAGGGUUGCCCACUAACAGCCAACCCUGCCCAGCUGGGGGCUCCAGGCUCCUGGCCUGGCUCUGACCGGCUCUUAAUUAACCUCUCCUUCACCUUGACUAACUCCUGCCCUCCUGGUCUGUUCCUUUCAGCGAAAACUAACGGCUUGUGGAUUUCUUCCUGACUAACAACAGGUCUAACACUCCUUGUUACUGUUACUAUUAACAGCUUGGAUGUCGGCAUGGCUGGGAUGGGGCUAACACAGGUUUGGAACUUGACUAACCCAGGGGGAGGUGUAGCUAGCGGUGCUGGGCUUGGUGUCUGUGCUGGUCAGAGCAAUCUGUAGUUCAGGAGAGGUCGAAGGACUCUGAAGGAGGUGCUAGGGCUGGGAUGUGGCUCAGGUGAUGGCGGAGUCGUACCCACUGAGGGUAGGGUCAGAAGCAAAUCAGCCUUCCAGGGUUUUAGCCACUGGACCUCUCCUGCCAACCUCUAACAAUCUGCAUUUGGGUUUCAGUUCUUUUAAAUAGCCUUAUAGCUGCCAUAGUCCAAACGGGUGGAUUCAGCUCUAGUGAACUUCAAAAUACCUGUCCAGUCCAUACAGAGGAUAUGCCAUUAUGCGUGGAAUGAUCGGUCACCAGGCCAGGGCUCCACUUGAGGCCUUGAUCUGGGGGCUUUAGAGUUUUGGAAGUGCCAGGACAUAAAGCUUUAGAUGUGAGUAUUCAGAAGGGUUCAGAUUCCAUCACCCACUUACACCUUAGUGUAAAUUAGUCCAGGGUCGUCGUCUUCUGUCUUUUAUGCAGUGUAGCUGCACUGAGAUAUGAUUUUGGCUGGAAAGGAGCUUGGAUUGCUUCAGGGCUGGGGGGGAGGGGUGGUCCUUUGGGAGCAGAGAAGGGGAGCCACGGGGCCAGGGGAUCCUGGGUGGGGGUAAACGCCAGCAUCCGGUGGAGAUGGGACCAUUUUGCUGAUCUGGUCUGGUAGUCCGGUUCUGUGGGAGAGGGCAGCUCAUGGCUGACUUGGAGGGUUGGGUCAGCUCAGGCACGGGGUCAGAGGCUGGCCUUGAGACUUGCAGGCAGGUUGCUUGGGUUAUGGGACACUGGCCUGGGGCCAAGAGCCUGACAGCCAUGGGCUCAGAGCUAAGCUAGUGAAGCCAGCAGUGGGGAGGAAGCACCUCCCUGCUGCCCUCUAGUGGCCGCCUCCCCCCAUUUUACUCGAAGCAGGAAGUUCAGGCAACUGGCGUUCUGGAAUUUCUCUUUACUCCACUACAAAGAUCUGUUGUUGCUGAGGACCUACCGUGUCCCCAGCAGUGCUCUGGGUCCUGGGACCCACCUACGGGCCCUUCCGUCCGGUGCUUGUAUCGCUCACUGGGGAGGUUGGAGAAGUUACCGUGUAAUGUGACCGGCGCUGUGAUGGGGGGCGGGGCUGUGGAAGAAGCACCCAGGAGGCAAGCAAGGAUGCUGUGCACCUAGUCCGUGCCAGGCUAGGUGCUCGGCGUUGGGGAGGAGCGCUGAUGAAACCAUCCCCGCUUCAGGAUAUUUCGUGCGGGUGUAUAGCGGGGGCGGGGGGGUAGAGUGGAGUGUAGGCAGUCCCAGCAGGCUUUCUGAAGAGGGAGGCACCUAAGCUGAGCCCUGGUUGGAUGUGGUGGGGAUGAGUUCCGGGUAGGAGGAAUGGCAGACGCAAAGUUCUGGGGGGAAAUCAGAGAGGAUCGAGGAGGUUCUGGAAGGUUCAUGGGGGAUGUAGCAGGAGGCAGAUGGGAAAUGGACAAGUACCAGGCCGUGUUGCCAAGGAGAUUGGGGGUUGCCCUAAGGGCAAUGGGGACCUAUGGAUGUGACCUCAGGAGGGGAGGAGUUGCAUUUGGCUUUUAGGCUGGCAGCUUGGCUAUUUCAGCCCAGAUGGGAUGUAUGCGGCUCCUGGAGAGGAUCCGAGGGGAUGUGCUCACGGGCUGUAAGUCAACAGGAGACCCUCACUUGUCCCGUGUGGCUGAAGGGGGACACGCACGUGUGGAGUAAGCUUCUGAGAGGCUGAUCCUGGUUCCAGCGAAGGAAACUUGGUGUGGCGGGUAACACAUCUUCUGGAGGCAGAAGGAUAGGGACUAGGCCACCUUGGAGACUGAGACUUUGAGACUCUCACUGGCAGUGAGAGUCCAGGAUUCCGCGUGCAAGUGUGCAUGCGAUUGCGCAUGCGUCCCCAGUAGGCGCGGUCUGUUUACCUCCCGACCCGGCCCUCUGAUGGUCACUCUGGCGUGAAGUCCCCUGAACAUCAAGCUUGUGAGGAGCAGGACAUUAUGAGCUAGGGGUUAGCGGCAUACUGAGCUCAGGGGGUACCCGGGGUGGGUACUGGUCCCAUCUCAACAAGGGAUCCCAAAGGCCCUUCCCGAGAGUCUAUCCAGGGACCCGUUGUUUUGCUUUGACCAGAGAAGACGUUUUCCAUGUGGGGUUGCUGAAUGUGGGGGUAGAUAGCCUGCUACAGAUUAAAGACCAGAGUUUUACCUGGAUCCAACAAUGGAGGGUGAACUUGGCUUUUUGUUUUUACCCAUGACCGUGGCUUCUGUGUACGUACCAUUUUGAUAUUAAAAGCCAACUUACACCCAAAGGAUGGCUGCUGCUUAAGAGACAGGAGGGCUGCGUGCCUGGUUCGGGGGGAGGACGGAGAGCCAGGGGCACUUUGGAGGAGCUGAAGUGCGUUCUCAGCCUUGUCUCGAGACUGCGACUUUAGAAAUCAAAACAGGAGGACAUUUAUCUUGAUUUUUCAUGGGGGGAAAAUACAACAGAUAAUUUGUCAUCUUAACUGUGUUGAGUGUAUAAUUCGGUGACAGUAAAUAUAUUCGCAUUGUUGUGCAACCAGCA